RNAcentral lists this long non-coding RNA (3506 nucleotides) under Sorghum bicolor (sorghum). RNAcentral's name for it is "long non-coding RNA (SBIC_LNC001663)". The record is from RNAcentral. Lineage: Eukaryota; Viridiplantae; Streptophyta; Magnoliopsida; Poales; Poaceae.
GGUGGGGUGUCGGGGUGCUAACAAGUCGUCAGUCGCAUGAUGGAUGCGGCCGGCGGUCGGGCCUCCACAGUAGGAGUACUAGCUCGACCACCACCGUCAAUCAGCUCGAUCCAUCCAUCGGCAGGAGCUCCUUCAAUUCCUUCGCUUCUCUCGACACACUCCGACGUACCGUCAACCUGUGCUGGCGCCUGGCGGUACGAUACUCGAUCUCUCAACUGAUCCCUCCUGCGCCAUUAUUAUUAAAACGGCUAACUCUCUGAUCUGAUCAUCGCCGGCCGUGUACGUGUCCUUAAUUGGGCUUGCUGCUUGCUUGAUGGGUACGUGAUGGCCAUGCAUGCAUGCUUGCGAGUUGCGUUGCGACAGAGAGGACCCCGCCCCGGUCACUGUCAAGGGCGCGCGCUGAUCUGCACUGCAUGCACGCACGCUGCUUCCUUCUUUACCUUUAAUUUAUGUGCAUCAUGCAUGCAUGGCGUCAGGGUGCGCAACUUGUUUUGCACCACUCACUUUACAUACUUCCCGUACACUGCGCUUAUCUUUUCUUUUGUCUCCCCCCCUUCAUUCCCAAGUCAAUUGCUCAAACCUGCAGCUUUUAUAUAGUAGUACCUGUUGUUAAUUAAGGAUAGUACUCCCACUACAUAAUUAAGGAGCUAGGACACAAAGGCGGCACUGCGAGAAAAAAAAAAGCGAGCGUCGUAUGCAUGGAUGCCUGAUGAAUUUGUUGGUGCGCCCAUGCCUGCAUGCAUGAAUCAGUGUGGGCGCUGGCCGGGGGCGUGCGGUCGGUCGGUCGGUGCCCAUUCCACAUGCAUCCACGACGAGCGAUCGAGGUCGAGCUACAUACCCUCGCCUAACUGUUUUACAGUUUUCCAUCCCGUCAAUCGAUGAAUGGCGCGACAGCGCAUGCAUCGCCCGCCCGCCCGCGCUUUUACACAUGUGUCCAGUAUAAAUAGCGACGUGUGUACUGCAGUAUAAUAUAUGUGUACAUGUAUAUGUAAACACAACUAUUCUGCAUAAUAAGAUAUACAAGUUGACUUUCUAUUAAUAGGUGCCUUGGGUCAGCAACAGGGGAGUACUGAUGACAGGCGCCGUAACACCAUCUCAUCGAUGAAAUCACUAUUUUACAGUAAACUAUUAACCUGCCGUUAUAUUUGGAAGACUUAAGUGUAUAGACACAUAUAGUAAUUUGUUUUUUUUUUUGCAUCACAGAGCGGUUUUAGUGCCAUCUGUGUUUUCUCAUUAUAGCGACCACCCUAGUUAUAUAUAGCUAUAGCCUUUCGCUCAGGCACUGCAUAAUAACGACAAGAUUAUUGUUGCACCCGGCCCUUUGAUAGGUUGAUUUGUUUGAUACUGACUUUUGGUAGAUAAAGAAGACCAUAUCUUGUCUCCUACUAUAUAGUGUACUUUCUGUGUCUGCCUACCCUGAUAUCCAGAAUCUGAAUGAAGAACGCUAGCCACCUACUAAUAGUCUAAUUGAUUUCAGUGCGUGUUCAGAAAAAAACUGAAAAGGCGAUGUGUUAACCUACUGCAGUCUGCAUGGCACAUCUACAUUUGGGCACUAGACUUUCCUCAGUGUGUGUGUAUAUAUAUAUAUAUAUAUAUAUAUAUAUAUAUAUAUAUAUAUAUUGAAUGGCGAAUAGAAUAAAGAGCAUCAAUAAUUGAGCCGCCUAGCUUCUACUAAUUCCGUUGUGCUUGACCAAUGUCACAAAACCUGAAUAUAAAGAAUUAUAUACUACUUCUUCAUUCUGUGGAUACUAGCUGCCUAAUAAAAAAUAAACACGUCUCGCAUCGAUCCAUGUUGUAACACCCUAAAAUUCGCUCUUUUCAAAAUAGAUGAAAAUUUAUUCAGUUUUGUAUUUUGUGCUCGAGGUGACGUGAUUUGCGUGUUAGUGUAGACGUUGUCCUAUCAUGUAUUUUCCCAAUGUAGUUAAUUAUUAAAUUGAUUAAUACACUUGCGUCUAGUUUUAUAAUUAAAAAAAUCAUUAUAGAUUUUAUACUCCGGUAUUCUAUAUAUAAAUACUAGUAAUGUUAAUUGCUAUCAUCGAUGUAUUUUAAAAAUUAUAAUUUGACUAGUUUAAACCCACAUCAUGGGUAGGUCGAGUAGGUGUUUCACCUGUGUCUUUUCUUUUGGCAAAGUUAGUGUUCAACUUGCUAAUAUACGAUAAUAUUUGAAUGUAAGAUGUGACUAGAUUUGAGUUGGUUUUUAAAUUAAAUUAUGAUUUGUCCAAUCUGAAUUAAUAAUUUUCCUAUCAUUUUGCUUAACUAAUAUAAAAUAAUUUAAACUUGUAGUUGUUUCUUUUAUAACAAAAAUAUAAAUCUUUCGGUAGUCGUUUCUUUUUAUCAUAGCCCUCGGUGUUUCUAGUGUUCUCGUCACCAUAGUAAUUAGUUCUCUUUUAAUACGUUAUUUUCUCUUGUGUGGUGUAUUGUUCUUAGUUUCUUUUAUUUAUUGCUUGUAUGUUGGUCUAUGUUGUGGUGCUUGCUACGAGUAGACGAGAACCGACUGUGAGCGUCGAAGAAGGUGAUGACCAAAAGCUGAUGGUGUGAGAAUUGAUCAAGUGUAAAAGGCAAGUAUAGCAUUUGGAUUUUAUUUCUGUGACCAUGAUCCUGUGACUAGAUUAAUGUUAAGUAAUAAAUGAUAAAAAUAACUUUUUAGCAAGUUGAUGAUUUGUCUGUACGUGAUCACCCGGGACAACAGUGCAACCAUGAGGGCUAUAAUGGCUCUGGCUUUAGCUCAGUAUGAAGACCUUUUCUAGCUUGUUAGAGGUUACCUGAAAGGGCGGAGGGGCUGAACCGUUUUGGGUAUAGUGCGAGCCCCUGUCCUUAUGUGUAUAGGCUGCGCGUCAUUGUGCCAUUUAGAAGGGGGGCAUCUAUAUCUGCGCGCAAAGGAAACCUUGCGGCCCUAACAUGUUAGACGAACUUUUGAAAGGCUUCAUAGUGAUCCCUGCCGACCUUCCUUGGAAGUGGGUUAAGAGGCUGAUGACUUCGGGCGAAAGGGUAAAUCAUGACUCAUGGGUAAAGAUGUGCAACCUCUGCAGAGUGUUAAAACUAGUAUACUAGCCGAGCUCACGGUCAGGAGCGGCCUUGGGGACAUCUACAUUAAGGGUGAUGAUUCUUGUGUGUUAAUAUGCUCAUUAUUUAUUGUUUAAUGCUUUACAUUAUUUAUGUCACAUUGAUCAUGAGAUUGUCGGCGCUAUACAAUCUAGUUGCUAUACUUGUGGAGUUCGAUAUGGACUCACUCUUGCUAUUUUCCCAAACCUCAGGAGAAGUUUAGGCUUGUGAUCAACCAGUCAGUUGGAUCCUGUAGAGAGAAGUUAAUACCCGAAGUUCGGAGUUGUUUAUCCGCUAUUGCUAUCAAAGGUUAUCUCUUUUAUACUAAGUACGUUAUAUAAUUUAUGCAUUGUCUUUUGAUAUUACCCCUUAUUUGUAGCUAUAUGUGAGAUUUGGCUUCUAAGACUCACAUAUGGUGCAUAUCUGGUUUUGUCCUUAAAAUCAGGUAUUACACAUGCAUGGAC